RNAcentral lists this ribosomal RNA (468 nucleotides) under uncultured bacterium. Its description in RNAcentral is "partial 16S ribosomal RNA". It matches the Rfam family "Bacterial small subunit ribosomal RNA", at positions 28 to 507 of the family's 1533-position model. The record is from RNAcentral.
GACGAACGCUGGCGGCGUGCUUAACACAUGCAAGUCGAACGGAAAGGCCCUGCUUUUGUGGGGUGCUCGAGUGGCGAACGGGUGAGUAACACGUGAGUAACCUGCCCUUGACUUUGGGAUAACUUCAGGAAACUGGGGCUAAUACCGGAUAGGAGCUCCUGCUGCAUGGUGGGGGUUGGAAAGUUUCGGCGGUUGGGGAUGGACUCGCGGCUUAUCAGCUUGUUGGUGGGGUAGUGGCUUACCAAGGCUUUGACGGGUAGCCGGCCUGAGAGGGUGACCGGCGACAUUGGGACUGAGAUACGGCCCAGACUCCUACGGGUGGCAGUAGUGGGGAAUAUUGCACAAUGGGCGGAAGCCUGAUGCAGCAACGCCGCGUGCGGGAUGACGGCCUUCGGGUUGUAAACCGCUUUCGCCUGUGACGAAGCGUGAGUGACGGUAAUGGGUAAAGAAGCACCGGCUAACUACGUG